Molecule: long non-coding RNA, 1714 nt
Organism: Oryza brachyantha (malo sina)
Lineage: Eukaryota; Viridiplantae; Streptophyta; Magnoliopsida; Poales; Poaceae
Exons: 5
Source: RefSeq, a predicted model, not a curated record
GCGACGGCGUGCGGCGGCCAGCGCUGGCGGCUGGCAAGGUUAGAACAAAUCAGUACACACAAAUUCCUACCUCUUGUGCGUGAGAGCUGGAGAUGACGAUGCGACUGAUCUCGAGGGAAUGGGGAUGCGACGGAUCACGGAUGACGAGGGGAUGUGGCUGAUGAGGAUGUUGGGGUGCGGCGUUGGGGGUGUGGCUGAUGAGUACGAUUUUUAUAUCUUGGCCGAAUUUCUGUUGGCUGAAUUUCUGUUAACCGUGAGAGAAUUCAUAGGAGAGUUUGUUACAGAAUUUGAAAUGGUUAUCUCAAUAUUUGAAGAUUUAGGUAUCUGUGUUGAUUGUGUGAAUACUAGUGUGAAGUCAGUAUAUCAUUGACACUAGAUCCAUCAAAACUAUGGUGUCGUGAAUUGAUCCAGCAGGUGCACGAAUUGGGCCUGGAUUCCCUUGUUUGCAGUUGGGGUUGGGAGCUGGUGCUGGAUGUGGGAUAGGAAUUGGUUUUGGCUAUCUAUCUAUCUUCUAUCUAUCUAUCUAUCUAUUAAUUAUAAUAUAAAGACAGUCUAAAAAGGAGACGCCACGUUCAUUCUGGGGGUUAGAAAUUAUCACGUUAAUCGAAGAAAAAUAAUAAAAUAAAUAACUGUUGCAUUAUGAAAAAUCUAUAUCGAUGGUUGUGAUUUAAUAAGCUGAAAAUUUUGGUGCGCCGAGAUAAAGAUAAACAUAUUAACUAACUUAGCUCUAACUAACUCAUCACAUGUUCAGUACGUGAGACCUUCCUAGAGACUCACGCAUGCAUGUAAAUACCGGAUGCUUUUAUCUGUUUUUCUCUUUUUGUUUUUCAAGUCAAAGUUAUAUACCAGAUCACAUAGAUUUAGAUUUUAAUGGAUGAGAUUUAAUGAGAAUCCAUAUAAAAUAUUUUGAAAAUUUAAGAGUCGGAUGCUUCUUUCUAAGUUGAUAUGUAAGACAUUACCGUAUAAAUAGGCUAGGACUCGACAACGUGAAUUAUUUGUAUCUCUUAUUAGUCAAAUCAUGCUAUGUAUUACAGAGACGAUGGGCGCCGAUGGGUUCAAUAAUAUUAGUGCUGCUCGACCCCGUCGACGACGUAGGCGAGAUCAUUGUCCCCGCUGCCUCGCUGCCGCUGGAGACGAGGUGGCCGACGUUCCCGCUCCGCCAGCUGAGUCCCUACUGCCGGCCGUCGAGACCCUCCGCGCCGGAUUCAUACCGAGGCCGAACAACGUGCUGCGCUCCAGCCUCCCGGCCAAGUCCAGCACCAGCUUUAAGCAUAUAAGCUUGCACGAUUUCAGGAUCUAGGCGAUUGCGGAAUGGAUCAACAACACGCCCACCAGCACUAAAUGCUGAUUCUGAAGCAACAGUUGACACUUGAAUAGACAAAACAUCACAAGCAAGUCGAGAAAGAACAGGAAGCUCAUGUUGCUUGAGUGACCACCAAUGCAAAAUAUUGAAUGUUUUGUCUCUUGUAUCCCAUUCCACUAAUGGUUGUUCUUGGUACACAUGCAACUCAGUUUUAGUGGAUUUUCCAGAGGCAGUCCGGCGACGCAAGUAGUUCACAACAUCUUCAUCAAGAUCAUCAUCACUCUCCAUAUUCUUAUCCUCAUUGAUUAAAGAAUCCUUCUGCAAAUUUGUAGCCAAUCCAUUCUUUGAAGUUGAUGCACUAAACUUAUAAGCUUGGAAUAGCCGAUUAACAACAUCCAUGAAUUUUUUAAU